UAGAAGCAGUGAAUGAUGGAAUAAAAUUAGAUGAAUAAAUCUAUAUCUUCUAUAGUAAUAUAGGAAAGAAAGAUGUUGUGGAAAAUACAACACUACCCUUAUUGCAAAAGUGUACUAUCCUGGUACUAGGUAAUAUUCCUUAUUCUUUCGGCCUAUUUUAACUUUGAAGACAAAUUAUGGUUGGCUCAUACUUGUAUGACAAUGAAAGAGCUACUAUAAAGGAUGAUUAAGGUUUACACUUAGAUGAUGUUGUAAAUCAAUCAUGUUGUUCUCACGUACAGGCACUAAUCCCAGAUUUGUAUUUUGUAAUAUCCUCUUUGUUGAGAGUUAUAAUCUUAGGAAAUAACAUUAUACCACGAGGUGGUAACACAUAAAGUAACAUAGAUGAUGUUGUAAAUCAAUCAAGUUGUUCUCAUGCAUAUGCAUUGAUCUAAGAUUUGUGCAUACAUAUACAAACUCAAAGUGUUGUAAUUGGCUCACUAGUGUAAACACCCUUUAAUUUGAUUAAAUGAUUCUAGAGAGAUGUUAAACACUCGCAACUUUCAACAUAUGUGGUGGUAUUCUACUAUAUGGAAGUUGAAAGUGGAAUGACCUAAAGAGAUUGUGAAUAAUACUCAACCCUAGAUAUGAGUGAUAAUACUAAACCCUGGAUAGUGGUAUCAAUACUCAACUAAAGAUGCAUGCGUGCUGGAUCUUGAGGAAUCUAUAAGUGCUUCUACCAAUUAUCAUGAGAGGCAUGAACAUACUUAUAGUGCCUGAAGAAGAAAAGUAAAAAAUGUUGGUAUGGUGAGACAAGAUUAAAAUGACAUAGGUUUAGAGAUGCUGCGAAUAAUACAUGGUUCCUCAACAAUCUGAUGAGAAUAUCAAAGAUUGUAUGUUUUAUGGUAGGUCGGAGAGAGCUUAUCAAAAUUGGGGUAGCACUUUGGUGACAUAGUGGUUGGUGACAUUGGUGACAUUGGUCAACCACAAUGUCACAUGUGGCUUUCUUCUUUUUCUUUCACAAGAUUUUUUUGUUGUUUUGCACACUUGUAACAUUGUGGUUGAUAAUGUCACGAAUGUCACCAACCACAAUAUCACCCAAGUAUCAUCCCUUGCGUGUCCCGUCUCUAAUCUUAACAACUCAUUUAGUAACCAUUUAUUACAAUGCCUCGGUAGAACACUAGAUGAACAAUGUAACAGCCUAAUAUUUUAUAUAUAUGUCAUUUAUUAUAAUUUUCUUGAUUUAUCAUUUAAGAGGUUAAUAAUUUAUUUUGCGGAAAUAAUUUAAGGAA
RNAcentral lists this long non-coding RNA (1271 nucleotides) under Medicago truncatula (barrel medic). Its description in RNAcentral is "lncRNA gene1354". Lineage: Eukaryota; Viridiplantae; Streptophyta; Magnoliopsida; Fabales; Fabaceae. The record is from RNAcentral.